GACGUAGGGUGCAAGCGUUGUCCGGAAUUAUUGGGCGUAAAGAGUUCGUAGGCGGUUACUUAAGUCUGGUGUUAAAGCCCGAUGCUCAACGUCGGCAUGGCAUUGGAAACUGGGUAGCUAGAGUGUGUCAGAGGUUACGGGAAUUCCUGGUGUAGCGGUGAAAUGCGUAGAUAUCAGGAGGAACACCGGUGGCGAAGGCGGGUCUCUGGGCCGAUACUGACGCUGAGGAGCGAAAGCGCGGGGAGCAAACAGG
Molecule: ribosomal RNA, 253 nt
Filed under: uncultured bacterium
Lineage: Bacteria
Description: partial 16S ribosomal RNA
Rfam family: Bacterial small subunit ribosomal RNA
Source: RNAcentral